UACGUAGGGGGCGAGCGUUGUCCGGAUUUAUUGGGCGUAAAGAGCGUAUAGGCGGCCAGGUAGGUCUGCUGUGAAAACUCGAGGCUCAACCUCGAGACGUCGGCGGAAACCAUCUGGCUAGAGUCCGGAAGAGGAGAGUGGAAUUCCUGGUGUAGCGGUGAAAUGCGCAGAUAUCAGGAAGAACACGCGUGGCGAAGGCGGCUCUCUGGGACGGUACUGACGCUGAGACGCGAAAGCGUGGGGAGCGAACAGG
This 253-nucleotide ribosomal RNA is filed under the name uncultured bacterium. RNAcentral's name for it is "partial 16S ribosomal RNA". It matches the Rfam family "Bacterial small subunit ribosomal RNA", at positions 524 to 776 of the family's 1533-position model. The record is from RNAcentral.